CCUACGGGUGGCUGCAGUGGGGAAUAUUGCACAAUGGGCGCAAGCCUGAUGCAGCCAUGCCGCGUGUGUGAAGAAGGCCUUCGGGUUGUAAAGCACUUUCAGCGGGGAGGAAGGCGGUGAGGUUAAUAACCUCAUCGAUUGACGUUACCCGCAGAAGAAGCACCGGCUAACUCCGUGCCAGCAGCCGCGGUAAUACGGAGGGUGCAAGCGUUAAUCGGAAUUACUGGGCGUAAAGCGCACGCAGGCGGUCUGUCAAGUCGGAUGUGAAAUCCCCGGGCUCAACCUGGGAACUGCAUUCGAAACUGGCAGGCUAGAGUCUUGUAGAGGGGGGUAGAAUUCCAGGUGUAGCGGUGAGAUGCGUAGAGAUCUGGAGGAAUACCGGUGGCGAAGGCGGCCCCCUGGACAAAGACUGACGCUCAGGUGCGAAAGCGUGGGGAGCAAACAGGAUUAGAUACCCCAGUAGUC
RNAcentral lists this ribosomal RNA (465 nucleotides) under uncultured Klebsiella sp. Its description in RNAcentral is "bacterial SSU rRNA". It matches the Rfam family "Bacterial small subunit ribosomal RNA", at positions 338 to 795 of the family's 1533-position model. The record is from RNAcentral. Lineage: Bacteria; Pseudomonadati; Pseudomonadota; Gammaproteobacteria; Enterobacterales; Enterobacteriaceae.